ACCUCCAACGUUGACAAGUCUACCGUGUGAGCAUUGUGUGACGAGAUGAAGCUUGCCGUUCUCACUGUCCUGGCCCUGGUUGGUCUGUGUGCUGGACUCAGCCGUCUGCCUCCACCACCGCCACCGCCACCACCUCCACCACCACCCGGCAAUUUUUCAGGCCUCCCCCCACCACCCGGCAAUUUUUCGUUCCUCCCCCCACCACCCGGCAAUUUUUCGUUCCUCCCCCCACCACCCGGCAAUUUUUCAGGCCUCCCCCCACCACCCGGAAAUUUUUCAGGCCUCCCCCCACCACCCGGCAAUUUUUCGUUUCUCCCCCCACCACCCGGAAAUUUUUCGUUUCUCCCCCCACCACCCGGAAAUUUUUCGUUUCUCCCCCCACCACCCGGAAAUUUUUCGUUCCUCCCCCCACCACCCGGAAAUUUUUCGUUUCUCCCCCCCACCACCCGGAAAUUUUUCGUUUCUCCCCCCACCACCCGGAAAUUUUUCAGGUCUCCCCCCACCACCCGGAAAUUUUUCGUUUCUCCCCCCACCACCCGGCAAUUUUUCAGGCCUCCCCCCACCUCCCGGAAAUUUCUCAGGCCUCCCCCCACCACCCAGCAAUUUUUCAAGACUCCCCCCACCACCGCCUCCACCAACAGGCAGUUUCUCAGGAGUCCCCCUGCCUCCCCCACCACCUCCCCCAACAGGCAACUUUUCACGUCUACCACCUCCUCCCCCACCUCCACGUAUUCCACUACGAGGCUGAGCAAACUUUGAAACUGGCCAACAUUUCGAUACCAAACUUAAAACCUGGCCAACAUUUUGACAUUUAAACUUUGAAACUGGCCAACAUUUUGAAACCAAACUUGGAAUCUGGCCAACAUUUUGAAACCAAACUUGGAAUCUGGCCAACAUUUUGACAACAAAUGUGGAAUCUGGCCAACAUUUUGACACAAAAAUUAGAAACUGAACAAAUGUUCGAAACUGAAUUGCCACACAAUGCUUUGUUCUAGGAAUUACAAUUGAAUAAAAAUUUGAUGUAUUUGAAAU
This is a long non-coding RNA of Physella acuta, 1032 nucleotides long. RefSeq lists it as uncharacterized. Lineage: Eukaryota; Metazoa; Mollusca; Gastropoda; Physidae. The record is from RefSeq and is a predicted model, not a curated record.